AGCGAACGCUGGCGGCAUGCUUAACACAUGCAAGUCGAGCGGGCAUCUUCAGAUUUUAGCGGCAGACGGGUUGGUAACCCGGGGGGACGUACCCUUCGGUUCGGAACAACUCUGGGAAACUGGAGCUAAUACCGGAUACGCCCAUAUGGGGAAAGGUUUUCUGCCGUAGGAUCGGCUCGCGUCUGAUUAGCUUGUUGGUUGGGUUACGGCAUACCAAGGCGACGAUCAGUAUCUGGUCUGAGAGGAUGAUCAACGACACUGGGACUUAGACACAGACCCGAAUCCUACGGGAGGCAGGAGUGUAGAACAUUGGGGAAGGGGCGCAGGCCUGAUACAGCCAGGCCGCGGAAGUGAUGCAGGCCUUAGGGAUGUGAUGCUCUUUUGUCCGGGACGAUAAUGACGGUACCGGAAGAAUAAGCCCCGGCUAACUACGUG
RNAcentral lists this ribosomal RNA (435 nucleotides) under uncultured bacterium. RNAcentral's name for it is "partial 16S ribosomal RNA". It matches the Rfam family "Bacterial small subunit ribosomal RNA", at positions 29 to 507 of the family's 1533-position model. The record is from RNAcentral.